UUCUAUUCCAGUAACAUUGCG
RNAcentral lists this non-coding RNA (21 nucleotides) under Caenorhabditis elegans. The record is from RNAcentral. Lineage: Eukaryota; Metazoa; Nematoda; Chromadorea; Rhabditida; Rhabditidae.